Molecule: long non-coding RNA, 3558 nt
Filed under: Ailuropoda melanoleuca (giant panda)
Lineage: Eukaryota; Metazoa; Chordata; Mammalia; Carnivora; Ursidae
Description: lncRNA (ENSAMEG00000028268.1)
Source: RNAcentral
AUGACUCCACCGGGACAGGGAAUUACCCCGCCAGGUCCGGGAAUGGAUCCCCCUAGAAGCCAUGUAAAGAAAAAGGACAAGUGUGGGGCCCCGCUGCUUCCCGCAGGCGUCCAUCCCUCAGAGAGGUACCAGAGGACUCCACACAUAAAACGUGAUGGAAACUGCACACCGUUACCUCCCUCGCUAGAACCGGGGAUGCAUGAAGCCGAUUCCGUUGCAGACGAACCCCCAAGGGAGCCCCCCCUGCACACACUCCCCAGAGCACAACUCGCGAACGCAGAGGCGGAAAUCCUGCGGCUCCCUUCGCACGGCUCGCACCCCCGUCUCUGGCCCGGACUCGAACGACCAACGAGGUCCCAACAUGAAGCUCAUCAAGGCGAUCCCCAUAGAGAACACGUACUGAUCACCCAGAAUGAGCCUGAUUCCUUGUGCAGUGGCAUUCUUCGAGUUGAAAAUGAAGUAUUUGCUGACGUUCUGCUCAGUUGGGUCAGUCCCCUCCAACACGGCCACAUGUCCGACUUCAGCGGCCUCAGCGGUCCUUCCAGACAGAACUUCACGUAGGUAACGUGUUCUGAUGGUGUUUUCAGCCAUUUUCCUGUCCCCUGUGCUCGGAAUUCCCAGGACUGCCCUGGAGAGCUACUUGUAACCAGCUCCGUUCUCGGGGCGAGCUGGCGCAGGCCACAGUUUUCUCCACCUCGUGAGUUACAUCCCGUGGCGUGAGAAGGCAGUGGACUGGAGCCACGGGCACGGGUUCUGCGUGACCCUGGGAGGGGCUCUGCUCCUCUCUGCCUCCCGUUCCCUCCUUGGCUGUAAAGUGGGGUAAGGUUGAACCCGUCAGGAGGGUUUUCGUAGGGGUGGGAGAGUGAAUGCGGGUGGGGUGCCCAGGAUGGGGUCUGGUCCCCGGCGAGUGCUCGCUGAGCGCAAGCUACCUUAGUGAGUGCCUGGCAUUCACUGCUGGAACUGGCAGCCUUCCCACCAACGGGGGUCUGGGGGUGGGCAAGCGCGUCUCCCUGAAUUCUCAGCAGUCUGCGUCAGACAAGCCUGGGUACAAAGGAAGCGUGGAUUCUUUCACGAAGGUUAGGGAACUGGUCUUGCUGCUCGGAGAACUGGAGCCUGGAUUGCAGGUGGGGUUUUGUGGAAAGCUGGUGGUGGUUCCAGCUGCCGACUAGGUUCCAGAGGGAAGGGCGCUGCUGACUCCGUGAAUUCCACUGCAAGUCCAGGCGCGGGUGUUCCCAAUCCCUGAGGACGAGACCAAGCACCCUGCGUUGGGCAGUUCGCCGCCUCUCUUUGAACAAACGGUUUCUUCCACAUUCACAGAUGGUUGUGUAGGUCCAGCCAGGAUGGCGUGUCCUCCGCGCUCCUUGUGACUCUGUGAGUUUGUUACCAGUUACAACACACAUCCAUUUCUCUGGACACACACCCUGGCAUGUGCGUGCCAUGCGGUGACUUAAAUGUGUAAGCGUGCCGACAGGUGAGGGCCCCCGGGGGGUGCUUGUGUGUUGGGGUGGGGGUCAGGCCCCCUCAUUCACCGACGGGGACUUGGGACUAUUCUUUCCCCUUCUCAGCCUGGGUUUUGUCAUCUACAGAAAGGGGUUAAUGAGACAGCCUCUCCCACGGUCACCGUGAAUGGCAUUUUUGUCGUGGGUGUUCGCCGAGCGGGGCUGCGGGAAGCUCUGGAUAGACUUUGGCUGUUGGUGUCGGCACGGGAAACGCGAGCCCCUUGCCCUCCCCUGAACACAGCAUUCUGGCAUUUCUUAUUCACUGUGCCCACAGGGCGCCUUGCCAGCCUCUUCAUAAAGCUGCUACUCAGAGGCAGAGUGCGUCCUCCUGGUCGGUGUCACGUCUCCAGAGCGAGGCUUCGUCUCAUCAGGAAAUGCGAACUCACCCAUCCCGCUGCCAGGGGACAGUUAGCCAAGCAGAUGCGGGAGGCAUUCAGUUCUGGGCUCGAAUUCCAUCCCCCACUCCCUGGGGUCUGUGGGGCUGGUUACCUCCCAACCUGGUUUCUUCCUUCAUCGUCGUCAGAUGAAAGUGACUGAGCGAGUGGUCCUGGGCUCGCCUCCCGAGGAGGUAAGCUGGGGCGGGCGGGGGUGUAGGAGUCUCUGAUGCAGACCCCAGGGGCCCAGGCUUUGCCCGGUAAACCAGUGGACGUCACAUCAAACUUCAACAGGCAGUGAGAUCUGAGGAAACUGUCUUUUCAUCUUUAAAAAAGAAAUCUGGGGAAAUGCGGGACGUAGCCAAGCAGCGUCUCUUGAGGUGAACUCGUCAAGUGUUCCCGUGUUGCUUCUUGAUCUGGAGUGUUCCUGUGAGGCCUCGAGGGCCCUACAUGAGAUUGUGUAAGGCAGCUGGCUCAUUGCAGGCAUCCGGUGGGGUCGGCCCCCCGGGGACCCUUCACAGACAUGCCUCCCACUUCAGUAAGAGCUCAAGAAGAACUCGAGCCUGGUUCCUAGCCGGCGGGACGGUGACGGGGGUCCAGGUCCCCCACGCACACACAGCUGGGCACACCUGUGCGGCCUUGUGAUUUCUGCACACACUUUGUGCUUAACCAGCAUGAAAUGUGAAGCUGGGAAACCGGGACGAGGUUGUGCAGUAAAUUCACAUGCCCCUGAUGGACGGCAGGCGUGUGCUUGUCGGGGACCCGGUUUUCAGGGUUAGGGCUCAGCGGGACUGCUGCCUGGGGGCCCGGAAGGGCUGGGUCCAGGGUGGGGCCUCCUGUUACCGGGCCCCGGAGGAGCACGGUUUCUGCUCAACCAAGUGUCAUCACGUCAUCCGAAGUCUAGGGUAGAGAUUCAGCCUGACAGCGUGAGGCCAGGCGUUCUCAGAGGGCGUGUGCAGAAACGACUCCCCUUAGAAUCGCCUUCCACCUUAAGAUGGAAAACUCUUGGUACGGUCUGCGGCCAGACAGACUUGCACAGUUAAAUCUGUAACAUUUUGUAACUAUUGCUUCUCUUUUCGUCGGUCCCUCAAGCUGUACGUAACAGGCUCCUUAUGCUUCUGCUUAAACCUUUUCCUCAGAAUCCUUUUAUUUACUUAUGUUUUUAGCUCAGUAGUAAGGAUGCUUUCUAACAACAGGAGAUGCAGAAAUAAUAAAAUCUGUAGACAUGUUAUUGUUGAUGACAUUGGUUGAUGUUGCAAAUUCUUGCUUGAUUGUUCCCCAAACGGUUUCCCCUCACGGGACAGGCUGCACCAGGCUCCCUGGGGACCUGCUGGCCUCACCCACAGGCUCUGGGGACAUCGCCCUGAUGGCUUUUCCACCAAGGUCCGAGGUGGCUUGCCUGUGGGGAGAGGCACGGCAGGGGAGGUGACGAUGGGUGGCAGCCUUGGGAAGCCUGGGUCAGGACAGUCUGGUCGUGGUCAGGGGCCAGCGUGCGAGGAGCACAUGGGGGGGCCCUGGAGUCCAUCCUGUCAUGGUUCAGCCAGAGGUCGACCAGAGCUGGCCCUGCCAGUGACCCCUUCUCUGGUUCCACGAGUUAGCCCGACACCUCCCACCAGGGGCUGCGCGGUGGGGCCCCAACCCUGGCUUGUCCCACUUGUCUCUCCAGUGUGCGAUCUGAGCGGGCU